Molecule: ribosomal RNA, 431 nt
Filed under: uncultured bacterium
Lineage: Bacteria
Description: partial 16S ribosomal RNA
Rfam family: Bacterial small subunit ribosomal RNA
Source: RNAcentral
AACGAACGCUGGCGGCAGGCUUAACACAUGCAAGUCGAACGCCCCGCAAGGGGAGUGGCAGACGGGUGAGUAACGCGUGGGAACAUACCCUUUUCUACGGAAUAGCUCUGGGAAACUGGAAUUAAUACCGUAUACGCCCUACGGGGGAAGGAUUUAUCGGGGAAGGAUUGGCCCGCGUUGGAUUAGCUAGUUGGUGGGGUAAAGGCCUACCAAGGCGACGAUCCAUAGCUGGUCUGAGAGGAUGAUCAGCCACAUUGGGACUGAGACACGGCCCAAACUCCUACGGGAGGCAGCAGUGGGGAAUAUUGGACAAUGGGCGCAAGCCUGAUCCAGCCAUGCCGCGUGAGUGAUGAAGGCCUUAGGGUUGUAAAGCUCUUUCACCGAUGAAGAUAAUGACGGUAGUCGGAGAAGAAGCCCCGGCUAACUUCGUG